RNAcentral lists this ribosomal RNA (253 nucleotides) under uncultured bacterium. RNAcentral describes it as "partial 16S ribosomal RNA". It matches the Rfam family "Bacterial small subunit ribosomal RNA", at positions 524 to 776 of the family's 1533-position model. The record is from RNAcentral.
UACAGAGGGUGCGAGCGUUAAUCGGAAUUACUGGGCGUAAAGCGCGCGUAGGCGGCUUUGCAAGUCGGGUGUGAAAUCCCCAGGCUUAACCUGGGAACUGCAUUCGAGACUGCAUUGCUAGAGUAUGGGAGAGGGAAGUGGAAUUUCCGGUGUAGCGGUGAAAUGCGUAGAUAUCGGAAGGAACAUCAGUGGCGUAAGCGACUUCCUGGACCAAUACUGACGCUCAUGUGCGAAAGCGUGGGGAGCAAACAGG